This 476-nucleotide long non-coding RNA is filed under the name Priapulus caudatus. RNAcentral describes it as "uncharacterized LOC106806515, transcript variant X6". Lineage: Eukaryota; Metazoa; Priapulida; Priapulimorpha; Priapulimorphida; Priapulidae. The record is from RNAcentral.
GUAGGAUGGAUCUAUCUGCAGUGACUACUGGUGCUGGGGAAUUGCUUGAAGACGAGAAAUGGCCAUUUAUGAUAAAGAAACAAAAUAUGAGAAUUCCAAGAUGAGGCAGUUAGGAAGGAUGGACUUGUGCUUAGUAACUAUGGAUGGUGUGGAAUUGUCUGAAAAUGAGUUAGUCAUGGAUGAUACCGAAACAAAAUUCCUAGGAUGGACUUGUGCUUAGUAACUAUGGAUGGUGUGGAAAGGUCUGAAAAUCACAGUUAGUCGUGGAUGAUACCGAAACAAAAUAGGAGAAUUCCAAGUAAGAUAGACCCAUCUGCAGUCACUACGGAUGCUGUGGAAUUGCCUGAAGAUGAGAGAUAGCCAUUUAUGAUACCGAAACGAAAUAUGAGAAUUCCAAGGUGAAUUUCUUAGCAGUAGGAUGGAUCCAUCUGCAGUGACUACUGGUGCUGGGGAAUUGCAUGAAGAUGAGGGUUGGC